GACAGAGGGUGCAAACGUUGCUCGGAAUUACUGGGCGUAAAGCGCGUGUAGGCGGACUUGCAAGUCAGAUGUGAAAUCCCCGAGCUCAACUCGGGAACUGCAUUUGAAACUGCCUGUCUUGAGUAGUGGAGAGGAAAGCAGAAUUCCUGGUGUAGAGGUGAAAUUCGUAGAUAUUAGGAAGAACACCGGUGGCGAAGGCGGCCCACUGGUCCGGUACUGACGCUGAGGUGCGAAAGCGUGGGGAGCAAACAGG
This 253-nucleotide ribosomal RNA is filed under the name uncultured bacterium. Its description in RNAcentral is "partial 16S ribosomal RNA". It matches the Rfam family "Bacterial small subunit ribosomal RNA", at positions 524 to 776 of the family's 1533-position model. The record is from RNAcentral.